CACGUAGGGUGCGAGCGUUGUCCGGAAUCAUUGGGCGUAAAGAGCUCGUAGGCGGUGCGUCGCGUCGGCCGUGAAAACCUGCAGCUUAACUGUGGGCUUGCGGUCGAUACGGGCAUCACUGGAGUUCGGCAGGGGAGACUGGAAUUCCUGGUGUAGCGGUGAAAUGCGCAGAUAUCAGGAGGAACACCGGUGGCGAAGGCGGGUCUCUGGGCCGAUACUGACGCUGAGGAGCGAAAGCGUGGGGAGCGAACAGG
RNAcentral lists this ribosomal RNA (254 nucleotides) under uncultured bacterium. Its description in RNAcentral is "partial 16S ribosomal RNA". It matches the Rfam family "Bacterial small subunit ribosomal RNA", at positions 524 to 776 of the family's 1533-position model. The record is from RNAcentral.